RNAcentral lists this ribosomal RNA (253 nucleotides) under uncultured bacterium. RNAcentral describes it as "partial 16S ribosomal RNA". It matches the Rfam family "Bacterial small subunit ribosomal RNA", at positions 524 to 776 of the family's 1533-position model. The record is from RNAcentral.
UACGAAGGGGGCUAGCGUUGCUCGGAAUCACUGGGCGUAAAGCGCACGUAGGCGGCUUUUUAAGUCAGGGGUGAAAUCAUGGAGCUCAACUCCAGAACUGCCUUUGAUACUGAGAAGCUUGAGUCCGGGAGAGGUGAGUGGAACUGCGAGUGUAGAGGUGAAAUUCGUAGAUAUUCGCAAGAACACCAGUGGCGAAGGCGGCUCACUGGCCCGGUACUGACGCUGAGGUGCGAAAGCGUGGGGAGCAAACAGG